Non-coding RNA from Camellia sinensis, 1075 nucleotides. NCBI's taxonomy places the organism in Eukaryota, Viridiplantae, Streptophyta, Magnoliopsida, Ericales, Theaceae. The record is from RefSeq and is a predicted model, not a curated record.
AUCAGUCUUUGGGCCCAAUAAAGGAGUUCAGAUUCUCUCUCCUCAAGGAUCCUGUUUCAUUUUCUCUUGCAACGCGUUAGGGCAGCCGUUGUAGAUCCAACGGCUAAAAAAAAAAAAUUAAAAAUAUUGAAAUUCAAUAAAUUUCCCGCCCCCUGCUAUACCUACACAGGUGACACAUUCACUCACUCUCACUCAGCCUCACUCUUCUCCACCAAACCCACCCUCACCGGCGACCAUUCCUAAUGGCCACAUGCUCAUGACGGCAACCCACGUCUAAACCCAACCCACCACUCCAGCCCUAAUAUUCUAUGCUUCGUGAACCAUAGCUUGGACGCGACCACCAUCGGUUGGAGCGAAGAAAUUUGUGGAUAAGAACGUGGGUUCUCAGGCCAAAGUUGAACCAAGUUUGUCUUCGAAACGCUGAAGUUAAAAAGUUAGGGUUGUGAUUGAGAUUGAGAAAAUAGAUUUAAAAUUUCAAAAUUAGGGCUUUGAUUUAGGAUUCCAACAGGAAAAAAUUAGGGCUUUCAUUUGGGUGUUAUCUUCUUCUGUUUCUUCUUUUUUUCCAUCUCUCUUACAUGGUUUAAUACUUCUUCAGGUUUGUUUUGUUUAUUCUAUUUUGUGGGUGUGUUGUUGUGUGUUUGCAGGGUCAUUCCAUGUUUGAUAAAUCAGUAUCCAUAAACCUAUGUAAUUAGUUUGAAUGAGUUGACUAACACUGCCCAUUAAAUUCGUGGAUGAAGAUGAUAAAGACGUUAUGUCCACAAUCCGUUCCAACACUAGAGCUUGUGAUGGUAUAACAGUAAAAGACUUUAACAAGCUAAGGAUGAGGAUUAAUGACAUGGAAAAUAAGAAUGAUGACUAUAGUCGAAGGCUUGAAAGGCUGGAAAAUAAUUUGAAGGCGAUGGUAUAUUUUAUUGUAUUUUCUAUCGUUUUAUACUUUAUGAUGUAACUUAUUCAUUGGUUGGCUUUGGGAAAAUGUUACGAAUGUUAUUAUGGAUUUUGUGAAACUGAACGGAUGUAUUGUUGGCAUUUGUAGCAUUUUGCCUUUGUGUUUAUGGAAUGAAUUUUAAAUGGUUUU